AUCCCUGAACAGGGCAGCUCGGCGGCGGUGGGUGGAGUCCUAGGGAGGCCUAGGUUUGGGUGGUUAGUGGUGUUGGGGAGAGCUAGGGGAGGUAGGGCUCCGGAGGGAGCUAGGUGGGUUGGUUAGUCGAGGCGGCGUAGGGGACAAGUCAGGAGCGGCGUAGGCGUCGAGGGGACGAGGGGAGCGCGAGCCCGUGUGACGGUCGGCUCACGGGUGGAGGUCUGGCUCGUCCUCCGAGCUAGAGCUCGAAGAGCUCGGCGGCCGCUGGUCCCCGGGAGGGCAGCACGGGGAAAAUAAAGAGGAGGAAGGGAACCAAGGAAAAGAGAGAGAGCUUCAGAGUAGAGAGAGAGAUAAGCACGUUGUCGUCAGGACGGAACUGUGGUACCGGUAGUGGGGCGAAGAAGCUCUGGUCAGCAGUAACUAGACGAAGGUACGGCGGAGGGCGGUCGCUGACGUUGGUGGUCCUAGGCGGAGCUACAGCAGGUUCGAGACCUAGUCCGACUGGAGUGGGACGAGACAACGGAGGGGCAGUAGAAGGAGCUCGUCCUCGAGUACGGGCUCGAGGAGGCGGUGGUCGUCGAGACGCCGCGGCGGAGGGACGGCCGGGGCUGGAACGAAGCGACGAGGCCGCUCAGGGGCUGCUCGUCUGUCCGUUGUCCGCUGCAGCACCCGCGGUUAGCGGUUCCGGUCGCGGGUCGGAGACGAAGCGGAGCUGGUACUGGUCCGGCCCGGAGUGGCAGGGAGAGGAAGAGGGAAAGCAAGAAAAGGAAAACGAGAGGGAGGGUAGAGUGCGUUGAGAGACUCGAGAGAGAGAAAAACAAGCAUGUCCUCUGGUGGCACCGGCGGCAAAAAGGAGCAGCGGCGGGAAGCCUAGGGGCGGCCUAGUGGGAAGGAGGUGCUCGGGAAAGAACGGCCUCAGGAAGCGGCGACGCUGAGGGAACUCGAUAGCGCGCUGCAGGGGACGAAGCGGUAGCGGAUGGCGUCAGAGACGAAGGAGAUGUUGCUCAUCCUCGAGCGAGUAGGGCGCGGACGAGCGGGGCGAGCGCAACUGGCGCGGGCAGAGCUGGGCUAGGUCGCUCGCUCGUCCGGACGAACCGGAGAGAAGUCGGACCCGAACCGGGUACCACUCCGGUGGGUACUCGCGGGAGGGGAAAAAAAGGGACACGUGACAACCAGGUUGUCUAAGCCGGGUAUAUUGCAAAAAAAGAGACCUGCUUAAAUUAGUAAAUAGGUUUCUGAUGUCAAAACGUCUUUUCAGGAGGUUGUAGUACGUAUAAUAUUCAGUGGUUGGUACGUAGUAUAAUUUUAUUCAAUAUAUACUUUCUACGAAUCUUAAUACACAUCUAAUUAUUAUAGGUUGAAAGUACGUACAGACUUUACAAAUUUGACGACAAACGUACAUAAACGAAUUAACGGUACGAUUUUACGAAAUUAAGCAUUGAUUUAUUGGCAUCGAGCCAAAAUUUAUUUGAGGUAUACAUUUACCCCAUCUUUUUACGGAUCAAAUUGUACCACGUGAAAAGAACGUACAAAUUUUUGAUAUUUUAUACCAAAUCCCGUCUUGUCAUGGUUUAAGUAUAAUACGUGUACUCCUAAAAGACCUUAACACAAACAAUAAAGGCCGGAGUAAAUUUGAACGGAUCUAUCCAUCAAAUGAAUGCGAGGUGGAGAACGGUACAAUUAUUUGUAAAUUAUAACAACCCAUGUAUUUGUUCUAGCUUGAUUUAUUCAGUACACCACAAAGCAGUCAUACGUGGAGCAACGUAUAACUCGAGGUGAAUAAAACAUCAAAACAAACACGUGAAAAGGUACGGUACGAAGUAAUUUGGUCUGUACGUAGUAUGAACCAACACGUAGUACGGUACAACUAAUACACUACAAACAAAUGAUACAACAAAAGAAGAAAAGCCACAACGAAGAAGCCCAAUCAAGACUAUUGCAGCGCAAACACUCCUAGGCAAGCUUGAUGCGGGCAAACAGAAGAAGUACCUGAGCAAGAAGAAGGAACGCCCUAGAGUCCGUUCUACUGGUAUGGGAGCUUUAGUGAAGAUAGAAACGAACGAUCAACGAGCUAGAUAACGAUACGGCGCUAUGGAUGGUGAACGAUAUAGUACGGAGGGUAUAACGGAACAGUUCGAAGAUUGGGAGGAAAGGAUCGUUUGCAACAAACAGAUACAAUGGUGAAACGAGUCGGGGAGAAUAUCGCAACGAUCAACGUUCACUUCUACCUCAAACAAGGUACAACCUUGUACCAAAACAACCCUAUAGUGUUAUAGAGAAUAAAAUUGAUUACGUAGAUAUAUGAACCAUUUCCCACCUUCCGAGCCGGAAUACGGACCACAAAACAAAGUGAGAACGACGGGAUCAAAGGCAGUAUGGCCACAAUACAAGGAACUAAAACGCAAGGAAUGUGCCAACCCACAAUACCCCUGGGGAACUGUCAAGCGAAACUAAUUUUGAGGAGGUCGUUCCGGGUUGGAACCAAAAUGGUAAACGGAGUGGUGGUGGAUAAAAAGGGAACCCUCAGCGAGAGGGCUCCCAGUAGAAAUAAAAUUGGGGGGGGCCCGGUCACGAACAGAUUCAAACCAGGCUCGAUCUCGGGGAACGUCGCGGUGGAGCCCCUUUGAACUCCCGACCAAAAUCAACAUGCCUAACGAGUAGGCCACAACGGGACUCUUGCUCUAUACACGUCGAGGAUAGCCCUACAGCCGGGUAGCCCGCCAGAACAACCAGAACAAAAUGGUAACAGCUUUACAGAACAUUGGCCCUAAGGCUCAGACUAGCCCAGAAGGACCCUCUUCCUUAUAGGAAUCAACUGGCACUCUCGAACACUACCCGAUUCAACCCUGUGGGGACGUCCCAAAACUUGAAAGCUUUCGGUACGGGCGCCAAUACCCGUCUACCCUUAAACAAUCAUAGGCCAACAUCUCUUGAACUGUGAAUUGAACAAAUUUUACUUAGUUGGCGCACACAUUGGCACUACCAGAGAAAAGCCGCCUCAGGCCCUUCACUUGUGCCAAAACCUCAAUACAAACACGCAUUCAUCAAAGUCCUAGUGAAGAUCAAGUGCUGGCAACGUAGCGAAGAGAAGAGUGAGAAUAAACGCAUACAAUCGGUGGUAUAUACGAUCACGAACGACGUCGAGAUGAAGCGAUGGGAAAGGAUGGGUAUUCGAAUUUAUCAGAACUAGAGCGCUCACACUCUAACGACUCAGGGGCACCGAGUGUCUAUGAAGGUUUGUCAACGACCACGGCUACUACAGUCACGUCUACUACGUUGACUCGAGUUCACCCUCGAGCUACUUCUAGCACAAGUAACACAACAAAGCAAAAGGAAAUCUAGUCAUCACCUCGGGUCAACCCCGCUAGCCCCUAGAUCGUAAACCCCAACAGAAGAAAAUAAAACCAAGGCAUCAGCCUGGAACUAACAUAAGACCUACUACAUACAAAUUGAACAUAAACACACUUCACCACUGACAUUCGGUUGAGAAAUAGGG
This 3496-nucleotide ribosomal RNA is filed under the name Triticum aestivum (bread wheat). Its description in RNAcentral is "partial small subunit ribosomal RNA". The record is from RNAcentral. Lineage: Eukaryota; Viridiplantae; Streptophyta; Magnoliopsida; Poales; Poaceae.